CGCCGGGCACGGCCCGCGCCGCGGCCAGCGGGGCCGCCGGCUCCCUCGGAAGCCCUGGGUCUUUCAAAAAUGUGCCAAAAUACGCACCCAAGCAUUGAAGGGCUCGCCACUGGAAAAUACUGCUGAAAAUGUGGAGCCUACAGAUGCAGCAACAAGUAGAGCUGUUUGGAAAAGGAGCAAGUAAAGAGUUCCUAAAAGUGCAAGACAUCUGGAGGAAUGCCUAGACAGGAACUGGACUGAGGUGGUAUUGUGGGAAGAAAUGGAAAUAAGACUGUGAAAAUGGAUUGAAGAAAUGGAGGAGCAAUAUUUGGGGAAAGGAGAAGAUAAGAAGUACAAGAUACCAUUUGAUGCUUUUUUCCUACAGAAAGCAGUAAAAACCCUGUAAGCAAUCUA
Lonchura striata (white-rumped munia) is the source of this 393-nucleotide long non-coding RNA. RefSeq lists it as uncharacterized. The record is from RefSeq and is a predicted model, not a curated record. NCBI's taxonomy places the organism in Eukaryota, Metazoa, Chordata, Aves, Passeriformes, Estrildidae.